This 253-nucleotide ribosomal RNA is filed under the name uncultured bacterium. Its description in RNAcentral is "partial 16S ribosomal RNA". It matches the Rfam family "Bacterial small subunit ribosomal RNA", at positions 524 to 776 of the family's 1533-position model. The record is from RNAcentral.
UACGGAGGGGGCUAGCGUUGUUCGGAAUUACUGGGCGUAAAGCGCACGUAGGCGGCUUUGUAAGUUAGAGGUGAAAGCCCGGGGCUCAACUCCGGAAUUGCCUUUAAGGCUGCAUCGCUCGAAUUGUGGAGAGGUAAGUGGAAUUCCGAGUGUAGAGGUGAAAUUCGUAGAUAUUCGGAAGAACACCAGUGGCGAAGGCGACUUACUGGACACAUAUUGACGCUGAGGUGCGAAAGCGUGGGGAGCAAACAGG